UACGAAGGGUGCAAGCGUUACUCGGAAUUACUGGGCGUAAAGCGUGCGUAGGUGGUGAGUUAAGUCUGUCGUGAAAGCCCCGGGCUCAACCUGGGAAUGGCGAUGGAUACUGGCUCGCUAGAGUGCGGUAGAGGAGAGUGGAAUUCCCGGUGUAGCAGUGAAAUGCGUAGAUAUCGAGAGGAACACCUGCGGCGAAGGCGGGUUGCUGGGCUGAUACUGACGCUGAGGCGCGAAAGCCAGGGAGCGAACGGG
This 252-nucleotide ribosomal RNA is filed under the name uncultured bacterium. Its description in RNAcentral is "partial 16S ribosomal RNA". It matches the Rfam family "Bacterial small subunit ribosomal RNA", at positions 524 to 776 of the family's 1533-position model. The record is from RNAcentral.